RNAcentral lists this long non-coding RNA (4021 nucleotides) under Ananas comosus (pineapple). Its description in RNAcentral is "long non-coding RNA (ACOM_LNC025171)". The record is from RNAcentral. Lineage: Eukaryota; Viridiplantae; Streptophyta; Magnoliopsida; Poales; Bromeliaceae.
GCCCACCAGCUCGGUGGACAGCUCCGGCCCGACCGUGAGCGGGUCGUCGAUCAUGACGAUGGUCCCGAAGAACGUGGUCGAGUUCUUCUCCGACGGCGCCUGCGCCACCCGCACGGAGGUCGGGCUCGGCCCGCUCACGAUGUCGUGCCAGAAGAACCGGAAGUGGCUCUCCGUCUCGUAAACCGGCUUUUUGACGCGCUUCUCGCCCAGCACGAAGCUGCUUUGCUCUUCGGAAUAGGCCCAGGAGGAGGACGAGAGGAGGAGGAGGAAGAAGAUAAUGGUGGUGAGAAUGGAGAAGAGCUCGGCCAUGGCGGAAGAGAGCGAUGGAAAUGGAGAAGGGAUGGUUCUAUAACUUUUCUAUGCUGAUGUAUGAUGGGGUGUGCUAUAUAUAUAGGGAGAGAAAUUGCUUGCCGAGUCGACGAGUCAGUAGAGCCGCUUUGUUUUUGGGAGGCAUCGGUUGGUGGGGUGGGUACGGACUCUGCUUUUAUUUUUGUCAUCGGCAGUUUUUAAGUACAUCUCGAGGUCGGCGUGGACUUUGUGAACAUCCAUAAAAAAUAAUAAAAAAGAAUAAUAAUAAUAAGUAAGAGUGGGAACUGCUCAACAUGUAACUAAUAAUCUCGCCUUGAAAUCAUCUUCACUAAAUUUUUAUUUCACACUUUAGCUGAUUUAAUUGAUCUUGGCAAUGAAAUAGGAUAAUGCGUUUUAGUUAAAAAUAUGGCAGUGAAUCGUAGUUACUAAUUGUAGAGUUAGUAAUUAAUGGACGUGACUUCAUUUAGUUUGGUUUGAAGAGGUCAUCAAACUACUAUAGCAAAAUGAUUAAAUAAAGUUAUAUUUAAAGAUUUGUUAGUUAUCACGCCUACAAUUUUUUUCUAUUAUUAAAAGCUUUUAUUAAAAUUGAAAAUUUCCUCUAUAGAUAGUAAAAUAAACAAUUAAUUUGCUUGGCUCAACUAAUCGUUCUAUAUGUUUUUUCUUUUCGGUCUCUCUAAAUAUGGUGAUGAGUAUAUGAUUAUUUUUUUGGGUUUAACAGAGAAGCGGUAGUUAGUGUAUCGCGUAUAAUAAAAAGUAGACGGGGUCAAUACGGCAAUUUUCUAUAGUGGAGUAUGCUGUAUGCAGUGGGGUCAAAAGAAGUUAGAAAAAGCAAAAAACGUACAGAGUUCACAUGGCUCUGCUGUCCGGAGAAAACAAAUUAAAGCAGUUGCAAAUAUUCAUUCUCCUCGUCAGAAAUGCGUAGCCUGCACGUCGUAUUGGACCAUGGCGCCUCCGGUGUUGGAGAAAGUUACGACUGUAACAUUUAUGCGAGACCAUCAAUGAUCACGCAAUCAUAUACUUUUUUUUAAAUAUAUAAAAAAUAUAUUUUUUUAACAAUUACGAUGAAAUUGAUGAAUUCAAAGAAAAAAAAAAUCUGAUUAAUUCAGAAUGUUAUAGAGCAAUAUAACUAACGUAUUCUAAAUUUUUUUUUUUUUUUGUGUUUAGGGCUGCUGCACAGUAUGGAGCUGUCGCAUCCGUGCCGACCCGAUCCGGCCCGAACUUUAGGGCUGUACUGGGCCUCUCCCCUUCGCCCGACGACUCAAUACGACACGGUUAGCAACGGACACGAACCAUGCCGGGCGGAGGAGAGGUCUGUCGCCCAGCACAGCGUGGCUCACUUGGGCCAUGCCAAUUGGGCCAGCACGAUCCGAACCCAAGAGCCCAAGGCAACUUGCUUUGGGUCUUGGGAUCCGAGCUACUGCGUCUCCCUAGGAGGCAGCAGCUCUUCUGAUUUAUAAAUUGAGACAAACAUCUAGAUUACAAAUUGCGGAGAUAACUAUAUGUUUAUUUAAAAAGUUUACUCACUAAAAAUACAAAGAAUCUCAUUGCUAUCGAUAUUUUCGCCCACAUAUAUAUUGUGGACUCAUGUUGAUGCACCGUCUUGUACUUUGCCACAACGCUUGUCUAUAAUCUAGUUAUCCAAUACUUUUUUAAAAAAAUAUCAACUUUUUUUUUUCACUUUUUUAAAGAAUUGAGAUUAAAAUGUAAAAGCAAACGAGAUGCGAGCACGCCUUGCAAGAGUACGUGAUGCAUCGUCCAAUAAUUUCUCCCAAUUACAAAGUCAAAUAAUUAAUCUUCCCACCACGCGAUUCACGUGGCAAAUCGAAUGCAAGCAAUAAGUUUAUUGAGGCUAUAAUUCGCGCGUGAAAUGUAGAUGCCCUUUAUGGGAAAAAAAAAAUAAAAUAAGUAAACCAUCACAAGGCUCUUAUAGCUCCUAUUUUCGAGAAAAAUAAUGUUUUUUUAGACAAUUUCCCAUAAGUUCUUUUAUCUUAAAAAUUUUUUCAAGCGCAAUGCUACAUCCAUAACUACCCUUUGAUUGUAAUUUUAUAAUUUAUCAUUUUUUUAAUACUAAAAUUAGAAGAGAUUGUAUAAAUUCUAGAAAGAGAAUUAUAAGUUUUGAAUUGAUGAUUGUAAUCUUACAAUCCUUCUUAAACUGUGGACUUAGAAUUUUUCUUUUCUAAUGUAUAUAUCAUCCGAAAAACUUUGAAAGAAAAUACUGUAGGAAACUGCAUGGAUUGUCAGUCAUUCGAUCGCUACCAAUACAAAUACGCAAAAAUAGAAAAAAUCAAACGAUAAAAUAAAUAAAAUACAGCAAAAAAGAGCAAAAUUUAUGUGGUUCGGCAAUUGACUAUAUCUACGAAAAAAGCGAGAGAGAUAUAUUCCACUAUAUAAAGAAACAAAAAUUCAAACUUAUUCCUUCUAUCUUCUUCAGAUAAAAAAAUUAAGAACCUUAUGAUGGAUCCUAUCUUUCUCUUGUUUCAAUGAAAAUUUUAAAAAUUACUGAAAAAAGUUUUUCGUAAAACUGAGAAAAUUAAAUUCGAAAAUAUCAAAAACUCUGAUCAAAUUCUUUAUAUCGUUGCUUCGAUGAAUCACCACCUCUCAGCCAAUUGGUCGAGCAUGCAACUGUGCUCCGCUGCCAGUUCCGAUCCAAACGUCGCAUGCGCCUCUCUCUUGCCGUCGUAGGCCAUCCGAUCGACGUCCUGAACGCUAAUUAAUUUUCUCACAUACGAACGCACACAGUACAUUCACAACGGCAUGCAUAUACAUAUAUAGAUGCAUUAGCUGGUCAACAAGUCAACUACUAUUCACCGAAUAUUAAUUAGACUCAACCUCGUAUGGAUAAACAUGUAUCUUGCACCAAUAAAAAUCAACUUCAAGAUCUAUUGAUACAUACCAUAGAUCUAGUCUAUACCAUCUUUCAUGAAUCAACUUAAUGGAUUAAUUAAUUUGACUCAAUCUUAGUUAAAAAAAAAAAAACAUAUUCUUAGCAAAUACAUGUAGAAAAAAAAGAAAAAAAAAAUCCAAAGCAAAAGAGUGAGGCCGAGGAUAUAAUUUCAUUGUUGGAGAGAGAGAAAAAAAAUUUCAAAUAAAAAAUAUAUAUUAUGUCAGUGAAGACAUACAUAUGUAUCAUAUAUGAAAGACAACACAUCGAUAAUAUAUAAGUACUGCAACAUGCAAGGUUAGUAUACCAUGCAUGCAAAUGGAUCAAGAGUGCGUGACAAAGACAUCGUAUUGGACAAUGGCGUCGUGAGUGUUGUUGUCAUGGGAGUGUGUCCGCGCCUGCGCGUACCCAGUAGCGUGCCGGAAGGGGCCGCUGCCGCCGACCACGGCCAUCUCCCUGACCUCGGAGAAGAUGUCGUCACGGCCCAUGACGACGACGGUGCUGUUGGUGUACUCCCCCUGCGUGAACACGAACGUCAUGGCCAUGAGGAGGCCGAAGCUGUCCUUCCCCGAGAAGGCGUAGAACCCCUGCGCCCGGCCCACCAGCUCGGUGGACAGCUCCGGCCCGACCGUGAGCGGGUCGUCGAUCAUGACGAUGGUCCCGAAGAACGUGGUCGAGUUCUUCUCCGACGGCGCCUGCGCCACCCGCACGGAGGUCGGGCUCGGCCCGCUCACGAUGUCGUGCCAGAAGAACCGGAAGUGGCUCUGCGUCUCGUAAACCGGCUUUUUGACGCGCUUCUCGCCCAACACGAAGCUGCUUUGCUCUUCGGAG